Long non-coding RNA from Mercenaria mercenaria, 387 nucleotides. RefSeq lists it as uncharacterized. The transcript has 4 exons. NCBI's taxonomy places the organism in Eukaryota, Metazoa, Mollusca, Bivalvia, Venerida, Veneridae. The record is from RefSeq and is a predicted model, not a curated record.
ACGAAGUCCGCAUGUAGGAAAUAGACUAUAGUCUGUUUCGAGAACGAGGCUGAAAUGUCAAGUCAGCAGCCAUAUUGAAACGAAAACAAUUAGGAAGCAGGGCGGUGUUGUAAAGUUUCCUUUGUCUGCAGUUAUCCCAGCUACUAACAAAGCAAGUUUAGCUGUGUCUCCACCAGCAGACAUUUUUGACUGAAGUGUUGUUGAAACAAAGCCAGUAUAAAGUGUGCCACUACCACACAAGUGAACAGGACUUAAACAAUCAGGAAGUUGUGUUUGUGUUUACAUCUCUACACCAGGAAGUUAUAUCAAAACAGAUCUUGUAGUUAUUACCUCUCCUCCAUUAUACUAUUUACACUUGUCUAGUGCUGCAUCGGGACAUGUCAAUGG